CCGGAAGUUAUUUUAUCAAGAGGGGUUUUUUAUGCAUUUCAUCUUGGCUUACUGAUGAAGGUUUUCUACAUGAAUAGAACAUGGCUUGAGAUGGCAGCAGGAAAUCCAUUCGGAAAGGUAAGAAAGGAAAAGGAAGGGGGGAAAGACUUUUCUUGGGGGGGAGUCUCCUUCUCGUCUGACACUUUCCCCCAAGCUACACUACAUCGAUUCUCUAUCUUUGUCUCUCUCUCUCUCCCUCCGAUUCAUCACUGUUUUUUUUAUAUAUGCCGCGAUCAAAGAAGUCAGAGCCGCAGAUUCGACGGCCGCCAAGUAUCUGGAGAUCCCUCUACUUCUUGAAUAUUCAACUUCUUCAGAACUGACUAAUUUUACUAGUUACAAUGAAUUGUUGGGAAAUUUUUCUGCCUUCCGAUAAACUGAACGUCUUACGGAAGCCUUGUGGACCUUGGUUUAACGGAAUUUGGGUUAUCGAAAUUUGGUUUAUAUUAACGUUCUAUUGAUGUUAUGAAUUUGAACAAGAGGAAAAGCUUUGACCUUGUACGAUCACCAGCAAUUAUGUGCUUCUUGAUAUUUGGUACUGAAUCAAACCAACUUAUCUCUUUCUAAA
This 604-nucleotide small RNA is filed under the name Malus domestica (apple). RNAcentral's name for it is "sRNA MD07G0016200". The record is from RNAcentral. Lineage: Eukaryota; Viridiplantae; Streptophyta; Magnoliopsida; Rosales; Rosaceae.